Molecule: long non-coding RNA, 770 nt
Organism: Nothoprocta perdicaria
Lineage: Eukaryota; Metazoa; Chordata; Aves; Tinamiformes; Tinamidae
Exons: 3
Source: RefSeq, a predicted model, not a curated record
GGAGUGAUGGGAUGUUUGUGCUGCUUACAGCUAUUUCCUCUUUUCUUCACAAAGAAGGAUUGCAAGCAUAACUGAUGAAUAGCAGUGGAAUCUACUGAAGUAUGUGCAGGUAGCAGUGGCUAAUAUCUCUUCUACAAUAUUACUCCUGGAAGUACAACUCCUCAAAGAAUACUGUCUAGGAUUACAGGACAAGACAGCUCGGAGAGCUGUGGCUCCUUGGACGUCAUCCAAGCCUCUGAAGUCAACCAUCAUCUUUCCCAUACAGCUGUGAAAAGGUUCUGCAAUUUGGUGGCACAACAGGGACAUUUCAGAGCUGCUGAAUGCAGAAUUGGGAAAUGAACUCGGAGGGAUUUGUGUGUGGACGAGAGUAUGUAUGUACUCCAAUCAUCUUGCUUAUGCUAUAGGGAUCCAGAGGUUGUUGUAAAGCUUUAUAAUAUGGACUUUGCAAUCCUAAAAAUGUUAUUAGUAUUUUAUUAAUAUGGAAAUAAUGUCAAAGGUAAAUGUCAAGGGGCUAUAAAAUUACCUUUAUCUCCUGUACGUUUAUCAGUUGAUAAAUGGAAAGAAGCUGCUGCCAAAAUAACUGUGAAUGAAUAAUUUAUAAAUGACUGAUGCAUCGUGUAUAUUGUUUCAGGCAGCAAACAGUAGGACAUCAAUAAUCAAAAGAAGUUGGAUUAAUUUAGCAGUAUUUUGCAGUUAAUAUUUUUAUCUAAAUGCUGCAGUCUGGACCGUUGUCAUGAGGAAAUCCAUCUCUGUCAUUAGGGACUGAUCCA